Molecule: ribosomal RNA, 536 nt
Filed under: Macrobdella decora (North American leech)
Lineage: Eukaryota; Metazoa; Annelida; Clitellata; Hirudinida; Hirudinidae
Also listed under: 1 other name
Description: partial 28S ribosomal RNA
Rfam family: Eukaryotic large subunit ribosomal RNA
Source: RNAcentral
CACGGACCAAGGAGUCUAACACGUGCGCGAGUCGCAGGGUAGUACGAAACCCGAAGGCGCAACGAAAGUGAACCUUUUCUUACGAAUCGGUAGGUGGGAUCCCGGACCGAAUCCCGCUCGCGGGAAGAAUGGGCGCACCACCGGCCUGUCUCGGCCGCGACGUCGGCGAGGCGGAGCAAGAGCGUACGCGUUGGGACCCGAAAGAUGGUGAACUAUGCCUGAGCAGGAUGAAGCCAGAAGAAAUUCUGGUGGAGGUCCGCAGCGAUUCUGACGUGCAAAUCGAUCGUCAAACUUGGGUAUAGGGGCGAAAGACUAAUCGAACCAUCUAGUAGCUGGUUCCCGUCGAAGUUUCCCUCAGGAUAGCUGGCGCUCAUUGGAUAAGCAGUUUUAUCCGGUAAAGCGAAUGAUUAGAGGCCUUGGGGACGUACAGACCUCAACCUAUUCUCAAACUUUAAAUGGGUAAGACGUCCGUCUCGCUUGAUUGGAGUCGGGCUGUUCGAAUGCGAGUGCCAAGUGGGCCAUUUUUGGUAAGCAGA